This is a non-coding RNA of Potamilus streckersoni, 68 nucleotides long. Lineage: Eukaryota; Metazoa; Mollusca; Bivalvia; Unionida; Unionidae. The record is from the annotation of a GenBank genome assembly.
GUGGCCCUAGUGGUUAAAGCGCCCACCAUGGAUGCGGGAGAUCGCGGGUUCGAACCCCGGCCAAGUCA